CAGGAAGAGAAGCUUGGUUUAGCCUGCGUUUAUUUUUGUGAUUGGAGAGUGAAGGCAGUCGAGAUAUCACAGGGCGUUCAGAAAGUUUCAGAAAGGGAAGUAUUUGUGCUUUAUCACUUGACCCAGAAACUCCAGCCGAGUGCUAAUCUUUGAUGGAUUCUGCCCGCCUCAUAGGCGCACUAAUAAUAAAAAUGAGGCAGAUGGGGAGCGUUUCAACACAUGACACAUCAAAUCCGUCUCCUGAGAUGUGCCCAUGCCCGUCACAGCCCUGCCUGGGUGGCUUCGAAUGCCGAGCACGGGUCGGGGGCAGGGGAGAGUCACCAUUUCGACCAAGCGCCCAGGGGAUGCCACCUCGAUACCCUCUUUAAGAACAAGGAGCCGGAACCACAGAGCGGCACCGAGGGGCUCUUCCCCUGGAGGUCAACGGAGAGGACAAGGGGUACAGUGGGAAGUCCUUGGAUCUGAGCCUGGCUGACCUGGACCUGGGUCCGGCACCCCACCCCCACCCCACUGGUUGUGAGUUAGACAAGACACUUUGAUCACAGGGACACAGUGCCACCCAGACUGGUUUAAGCAAGAAAGGUGACGUUAUGGGAAGCGUAUCGGGGGUCUACUUUGAAGUCUGAAACCAGUUCUCAGACAGAAAUGUUGACUUGCCAAAGCCAGCGGAUUCCUCUUCUACGUGCAGAUGGCCCCAUGUGCCAGCAGCAUGCGGAAGCGGGGGGCUGGAGGGACCGGAGAGCCCAGGCUCAUGACCUUAACCUGGAUGGCAAAGCCGGCCGCCCAGAAGUGCCUGGAUGCUCUUAGAAGUCAGGAAGGAAACAUCGCAGCUAGCCCCACCUGUCUUUCUUCCACACACCGUAGCUACUUAGAGACUCGAUGUCCUCGAGUUUUGACUGGGACAUCUCCGAUCACCUCACAGCCCGCCCCCCACCCCAUCUCCAAAUAUCAGGAAGAAGCACCCUUUCCCUUUGCCGGAGUUUCCCAGGUCACUCUACAAACUGACCCCGUCCUUUCCAGAGUUCUGCAGACCACCUGGAGGGGCUGGCUUUGCCAAGUCCCGGCUCGCUUGUGCUAAGUGAGGUCACCAAGGACCUGCCCCGUGGUGACCUUUUGUUUUUGUCUCUCCAGAUAGCAGCUGGUAGAUUUUUCCAU
Felis catus (domestic cat) is the source of this 1155-nucleotide long non-coding RNA. RefSeq lists it as uncharacterized. The record is from RefSeq and is a predicted model, not a curated record. The transcript has 2 exons. NCBI's taxonomy places the organism in Eukaryota, Metazoa, Chordata, Mammalia, Carnivora, Felidae.